ACAUGUAUUUUGUAAAGAGUAAAAGACAUACUACGUCUCCACCUCUAAAAGCAGUGUAAUCUAAAGUUUCCAAAUUUCUUAAUUGUGUAAUAAAUAAUGGAUUAGAAUACAUGUUCUUUCCUUUUUGUUCCUUAUGUUGGCUUUUUUCCUAUAUUUAAAAUCUUUAAUAAUUUAACUUACAAUGCAUUUUUCUGAGGCAUGAACAGCACCCCAUCAACAGCCUGGGAAAGCAGAGGCAGAGUUGUUACACACAUGCUAAGUACUGGGGAUCAGAAUGCAAUCACGAAGAGAUAGGUGACCCCAGAUAAGAGGAGAUGAACAACAGGAGUGGGAUGAGAGCAAAUCAUGGAUUUUUAGCUACUGGCACACCAGAAUGAGACCACACAAAUAUCUGAAGGCAGAACAAGUAGUUGGGACUUCCACUAUGAUGCUGAAAGGAAAUGAAGAAAGGAGACAUCCUUAUUUUGUUCCUAAUCCUGGUGGGAAAGCUUCAAGUUUCUCAACGGACCUCCUGCAGAGCCCCUGUCCAUCUCCUUGUGCCU
Molecule: small RNA, 542 nt
Filed under: Pan troglodytes (chimpanzee)
Lineage: Eukaryota; Metazoa; Chordata; Mammalia; Primates; Hominidae
Description: processed transcript
Source: RNAcentral